RNAcentral lists this transfer RNA (44 nucleotides) under Phyllodactylus xanti. RNAcentral's name for it is "partial tRNA-Cys". Lineage: Eukaryota; Metazoa; Chordata; Lepidosauria; Squamata; Phyllodactylidae. The record is from RNAcentral.
GCAAAGUGCAAAUUUGCAGCAGCACCGUAAGGGUGCCGGGGCUU